AUUGUAUUGACCAGGCCCUUGACUCCUCCCUGAACAUAACAUCAUACCCGCUCUCCUCUCCGUUCAAGCACUGGAAAACCAACCACUGGGAUCUGGGACAAUCACACACAUCACAGCACCACUCACCAUCACUGUACAGCCUCCUGGAGGAGUACAUCCAGGAGGCUCUCCCAACAGGGUUUCAUCCGCCCAUCCAUUUCCCCUGCGUCAGCAGGUUUCUCCUUUGUGGCCAAGAAGGAGGGGGGUCUUCGUCCAUGUAUUGACUACAUAGGUCUCAAUGCCAUCACCACCAAGUACCACUACCCCCUUCCGUUGGUGCCGGCCACCAUUGAACAGCUCCGCGGGGCCUGUUUUUUUUUUUACCAAUCUGGACCUGCGGAUUGCCUACUAUAUGAUCCUCAUCCGGGAGGGGGUUGAAUGGAAUGGACUGCCUUCAUCAGUGUCUGGGAACUACGAGUACUUGGGGAUGCCUUAUGGAUUAGCCAAUGCUCCAUCAGUGUUCCAGGCAUUCGUGAACGAGGUGUUUCGGGACAUGCUUGGGUGUCAGGUGGUCGUGUAUAUCGACAACAUCCUGAUCUACUAGACCACCUUAGAGGAGCACAUCACCCAUGUCUGGGUAGUCCUGGAACGCCUCCUGGAGAACCAUCUGUACGUCAAAGCGGAGAAGUGCCAGUUCCAUCAGGCCGCUGUCUCCUUCUUGGGAUAUCGAAUCAGCCCACAGGGAGUGGUUAUGGAGGAGAGGAAGGUGGUCCCCAUAAGUUGGUGUGGAAUCCUGCAGCCGAUGAGGCCUUCCGCCUACUGAAGGGGCUUUUCACCUCUGCCACGAGACACCCAGAUUCUACACUACCCUUCAUGGUGGAGGUGGAUGCCUCAGAAGUGGUUGUGGGGGCCAUCCUGUCACAACGUCAAGAAUGCUGAAGCCACCAUUUGAAGCAUCAGAGUGCUGUUUUUUUGGUCUUGGUGGUGACGUCGGGUCCGGGGCCGCCGCCGAUGGAACCACGGGGUGCCUCAGCUAGCUCGUCGGGCUUCCACGGUUGGCUCAGCAGGCUCCCAUUCCACGGUAGGCCUCUGCUGGAUCGUCAGGGUUUUACGCCUCAGCCAGAUCAUCAGGCUCCCACGCCUCAGCAGAUUCGCCAGGCUCCCACUUCCCAGCGGGAUCAUCAGGCUUUCACACCUCAACCGGAUCGUCAGGCUCCCAUGUCUCAGCUGGUUCGCCAGGCUUCCACGCCUCUGACGGUUCGUCGGGCUUCUACGCCCCAGCCGGCUUGUCCAGCGCCCAUGCCUCGGCCGGCCCGUCAGGCUUGCCCUGGUGGGACGCCGGGUGACGCCCCUAGAGGGGGGUGGUACCGUCACACCUGCUCCCGAUCUCCCGAGCGCCAGGCUGCCCAGCGCUGCUGAUAUAGUUAUAUGCCUGCCAUAUGGAGGUAUCUAGCUGCAAUCAUAUCUACCUAAUGGAGGAAGGAUGGCCAGCCACACAGGAGGGUGAUUUUUACUAAGGAGGAGAAGGAGGCUGUGCUGACCGAGAUGCAUGCUGGCCAUUUGGGAGUGAAGCGCAUGAUUGCCAAAAUCAACCUACACUUCUUCUGACGGGGAAUUGUCAUAAAAUAACCUUUUGUUUAUCACAGUCUAUUAUAUCUGAAAUUAUUAUGAUUUCAAUGAAUGUUCUGUCAGAGAACACACAAUUUGAGUUUUUUUUAAGUUUGAGAGGGCGAAGACUGGCGCUGGAGGUGAAGCCCAUCA
Molecule: long non-coding RNA, 1740 nt
Organism: Salvelinus namaycush (lake trout)
Lineage: Eukaryota; Metazoa; Chordata; Actinopteri; Salmoniformes; Salmonidae
Exons: 4
Source: RefSeq, a predicted model, not a curated record